Molecule: ribosomal RNA, 253 nt
Filed under: uncultured bacterium
Lineage: Bacteria
Description: partial 16S ribosomal RNA
Rfam family: Bacterial small subunit ribosomal RNA
Source: RNAcentral
UACGUAGGGGGCAAGCGUUGUCCGGAAUCAUUGGGCGUAAAGCGCGUGUAGGCGGCUCGAUAAGUCUGCUGUGAAAGUCCAGGGCUCAACCCUGGGAUGCCGGUGGAUACUGUCGAGCUCGAGUCCGGAAGAGGCGAGUGGAAUUCCUGGUGUAGCGGUGAAAUGCGCAGAUAUCAGGAGGAACACCAAUAGCGAAGGCAGCUCGCUGGGACGUUACUGACACUAAGGCGCGAAAGCGUGGGGAGCGAACAGG